AGUGGAUUCUUUCUUGGGAAUGA
Molecule: microRNA, 23 nt
Filed under: Blattella germanica (German cockroach)
Lineage: Eukaryota; Metazoa; Arthropoda; Insecta; Blattodea; Blattellidae
Description: Bge-Mir-36_5p (mature (co-guide))
Source: RNAcentral